CCUUUGUACACACCGCCCGUCGCUACUACCGAUUGAAUGGCUCAGUGAGGCCUUCGGACUGGCUCGAAGAGGUUGGCAACGACCACUUCGAGCCGGAAAGUUCGUCAAACUCGGUCAUUUAGAGGAAGUAAAAGUCGUAACAAGGUUUCCGUAGGUGAACCUGCGGAAGGAUCAUUA
RNAcentral lists this ribosomal RNA (177 nucleotides) under Nothophoma prosopidis. RNAcentral's name for it is "Verrucoconiothyrium prosopidis partial 18S ribosomal RNA". It matches the Rfam family "Eukaryotic small subunit ribosomal RNA", at positions 1657 to 1831 of the family's 1831-position model. The record is from RNAcentral. Lineage: Eukaryota; Fungi; Ascomycota; Dothideomycetes; Pleosporales; Didymellaceae.